GCACCACUAGUAUAGCGGUAGUAUGGCACCCUUCCAAGGUGUAUGUCCGGGUUCGACUCCCGGGUGGCGCA
Spironucleus salmonicida is the source of this 71-nucleotide non-coding RNA. The record is from Rfam. Lineage: Eukaryota; Fornicata; Diplomonadida; Hexamitidae.